AGUAACGCGUAGGUAACCUACCUCAUAGCGGGGGAUAACUAUUGGAAACGAUAGCUAAUACCGCAUAAGAGAGACUAACGCAUGUUAGUAAUUUAAAAGGGGCAAUUGCUCCACUAUGAGAUGGACCUGCGUUGUAUUAGCUAGUUGGUUAGGUAAAGGCUCACCAAGGCGACGAUACAUAGCCGACCUGAGAGGGUGAUCGGCCACACUGGGACUGAGACACGGCCCAG
This 230-nucleotide ribosomal RNA is filed under the name uncultured Streptococcaceae bacterium. RNAcentral describes it as "partial 16S ribosomal RNA". It matches the Rfam family "Bacterial small subunit ribosomal RNA", at positions 109 to 334 of the family's 1533-position model. The record is from RNAcentral. Lineage: Bacteria; Bacillati; Bacillota; Bacilli; Lactobacillales; Streptococcaceae.